UCCUACGGGAGGCAGCAGUAGGGAAUCUUCGGCAAUGGACGGAAGUCUGACCGAACAACGCCGCGUGAGUGAAGAAGGUUUUCGGAUCGUAAAACUCUGUUGUUAGAGAAGAACAAGGAUGAGAGUAAAACGUUCAUCCCUUGACGGUAUCUAACCAGAAAGCCACGGCUAACUACGUGCCAGCAGCCGCGGUAAUACGUAGGUGGCAAGCGUUGUCCGGAUUUAUUGGGCGUAAAGCGAGCGCAGGCGGUUUCUUAAGUCUGAUGUGAAAGCCCCCGGCUCAACUGGGGAGGGUCAUUGGAAACUGGGAGACUUGAGUGCAGAAGAGGAGAGUGGAAUUCCAUGUGUAGCGGUGAAAUGCGUAGAUAUAUGGAGGAACACCAGUGGCGAAGGCGGCUCUCUGGUCUGUAACUGACGCUGAGGCUCGAAAGCGUGGGGAGCGAACAGGAUUAGAUACCCUGGUAGUCCACGCCGUAAACGAUGAGUGCUAAGUGUUGGAGGGUUUCCGCCCUUCAGUGCUGCAGCAAACGCAUUAAGCACUCCGCCUGGGGAGUACGACCGCAAGGUUGAAACUCAAAUGAAUUGACGGA
RNAcentral lists this ribosomal RNA (590 nucleotides) under uncultured bacterium. RNAcentral's name for it is "bacterial SSU rRNA". It matches the Rfam family "Bacterial small subunit ribosomal RNA", at positions 337 to 917 of the family's 1533-position model. The record is from RNAcentral.